Non-coding RNA from Biomphalaria pfeifferi, 1668 nucleotides. Lineage: Eukaryota; Metazoa; Mollusca; Gastropoda; Planorbidae. The record is from the annotation of a GenBank genome assembly.
UAUGAAUUGAAUAGUUCAGAAGACAGUACUUAGCAAUAUGAUGUAGAAUCUAGAUGUAGAUGUAUAUAAAUGGCCAUGCGCACAGUAUACCCUUACAUUUAAGUCUGAUAACAUGUGAAACACUUAAGUCUGCUUCACUUCACCAUUAUAGGACUAAAAAAAAACCCAAGCCUUUAUGUUUGAGAAAAAACAAAAGAAUGGAUAGUAACACAAGAGAGUAUUUACAAAAACAACUACUUAAGUUACUAAACUAUAAAACACUUCUUAAUUACAUUCAGAAAUUGAGAUGUACUGUAGAUAUGUUUGCAUUAAAAAUGUGCAAGGAUAAAGGCUUGAAAUAAAAACAAAAUUAAUUGCCCUUCUAGGAACUAAAUUUAAAGAACCAUUUAAUAGUAAUAUGCAAUACUGUUAGCUACAAAUACUCUCUAAAAAUUAACUCAUCAGUACACUUUUCUAUUAUCAGGUUUAGAAACUUAAUUAAAUUUAAAAAAAUGGCUUAACACACUUUUCUAACAAAAUUGCCUAAGCGUCCACUAUUUUUAGAAUACAACUUUUAAUCAAUGGACAAAAUACACAUUUAAAAAAAAAUAAAUCUAUAACAAGUUAGAAUAAAACUAUGUUAUACUAUUCAUUUAAGAUACAUACUUUGAUUUUUAGCACUCAAAUAAUUUAAAUAAUUAGUUUCAUGUGUAUUUUAGGCCUACUAUGCCAGAUCAAAGGCACUAUUUAGUUGAACUUAUUUGGAAAGUAAGAAAGUAUUAGGAUAAAUGAGAGGACACAAUGAGUUUGUUGAAAACAUAUUAAUUGUUUUGUUUUUUUAAUUAACAUUUUUUAAUUUCAUUUAGUAAAUUUUGAAAUUCAACUUUACCAAAACCAAUAAAACUAAAGACAAACCCGUAGUUAAAUAAUAAUAGUUCAAUAUUAAUUGAUUAUACCCAGAUACACCUCAAAUAACCAAAGACAACGAUGUAUCUUUGUUAAUGCCUUAGCUAUUUUUCAAACUUUAAUUCAGACUUAAACAAAUCAGUUCUAAAAUAAUCCAGCGUACAAUCACACUUGCUGUGAUCACAAUUUUUCUCUUUUAAAAGUAAUCUUUCUCUUCCUGCUUAUUUUUAACUUAUCUUCAAAACAAAUUUAAUUAAACUUUUAAGUAAACAGAACAUUUUUUAAAAAUCUUCCUUACAUCAAAACUUUGUAUCCAUGAUCUAUAACAUACAUUUAUACAGCACACUUAAAAAUGAAUUGUUCACAAAAAAUAUAAAUAAAUAAAACAUGGCCUCUAUUAUUAAAUUCAUUAAACAGCUCAGCCAGUUGUUCCCACAAUUCAACCUAGCUGAGUGUAUUUAUUUGUUUAACAAAAUGAUGUUAUGAUAACAAAUUCAACUAAGGUGCCAGAAUGAGAAAAAAUCUCUAAGAACUACGCAACUACCAUACAAUCAUGUGACUUAUGUUUUAUGAGGAAGAGAAGACAACUUUUGUAAGUUGUUUAUCAUUUAAGUCCCUUUGAAGCUAGAAAUAAAAUCUCUAAUGAAAGCCAAUUUACAAAUGCAAUGCUUGAAAAUUAGUCACAAAUUUUUAAAUAAAAAGAGAAAUAAAAAGAGAAACAAAAAGUCAUAUGAUCAUGAAAUCAAUCAUUUAUGAAGACUUACUUAUCACCUAAGAAAGAGU